Molecule: ribosomal RNA, 485 nt
Filed under: uncultured bacterium
Lineage: Bacteria
Description: bacterial SSU rRNA
Rfam family: Bacterial small subunit ribosomal RNA
Source: RNAcentral
AAUGAACGCUGGCGGCGUGCCUAACACAUGCAAGUCGAGCGAGAAAGUCCUUCGGGAUGAGUACAGCGGCGGACGGGUGAGAAACGCGUGAGAAUCUGCCCUUCAAUGAAGGAUGCCCUCGAGAAAUCGAGGUUAAUACUGCAUACGUCCCUUCGGGGAGAAAGAUGGCCUCUUUGCUGUCGUUGAAGGAUGAGCUUGCGUACUAUCAGCUAGUUGGUGAGGUAAAGGCUCACCAAGGCUAUGACGGUUAGCCGGCCUGAGAGGGUGUACGGCCACAUUGGAACUGAGAUACGGUCCAGACUCCUACGGGAGGCAGCAGUGGGGAAUAUUGCGCAAUGGGCGAAAGCCUGACGCAGCGACGCCGCGUGGAGGAUGAAGGUCUUCGGAUUGUAAACUUCUGUUAAGCGGGAAAAAAGACUCAUUCCUAAUACGAAUGAGGGAUGAUUGUACCGCUAGAGAAAGCACCGGCUAAACUCGUGCCAGCA